GAACGCACAUUGCGCCCUCUGGUAUUCCGGGGGGCAUGCCUGUUCGAGCGUCAUUAUAACCACUCAAGCUCUCGCUUGGUAUUGGGGUUCGCGGUUUCGCGGCCCCUAAAAUCAGUGGCGGUGCCUCUCGGCUCUACGCGUAGUAAUACUCCUCGCGAUUGAGUCCGGUAGGUUUACUUGCCAGCAACCCCCAAUUUUUACAGGUUGACCUCGGAUCAGGUAGGGAUACCCGCUGAACUUAAG
This 243-nucleotide unclassified non-coding RNA is filed under the name Rhexocercosporidium carotae. RNAcentral describes it as "sequence contains 5.8S rRNA gene". The stretch from base 1 to 53 matches the Rfam family "5.8S ribosomal RNA", at positions 102 to 154 of the family's 154-position model. The record is from RNAcentral. Lineage: Eukaryota; Fungi; Ascomycota; Leotiomycetes; Helotiales.